CUUAGUGGGCUUUCGGAAUGAAAUCUCAAUCUGGGCUAGAAGACCGGAAUCAAGCUGAAGGCUAAUGGGCCAUUCCCAUUACAGUCCGGAAUAGGAAUCCCAAACCGAUUCAUACGAACCAAACAAAAUUAACCGGAUUUGAUCAAACCGAUUUCCAUUCCAUACCCAAAAUGGAUGAACCAAACAAGCCCUAAGGAAGCCAUGCACUAUGACCCUUAAUUCUAAGGUUGAAAUUGUCAUAAUGUCACUAUCACACUUUUACUCACAUUUUUUACUUUCACUGGUAUCAUAUACACUACUAUGUUCUUGUACACAUGCCACACUUGUUUUCUAAGUGUUCCAACUCUAGUAUUCUCGACUCAUCAAUAUCACUUUCUACUUCUAUGUCAAGAUGUCACAUUUGUUUACUAAGUCCACUAAGUUCUUAUCUCUUGUCAUACAUAAAUAGGGUUAUAAAAUUCUCACAUUCUUACUAGUAACUCACAUGCACUUGUACUCACAACAUACAAUAAAUGACUCAAAUAUAACCCUACUAUGCAAUUUAUGCUCAAUACACAUAUACUCAAAUAUGACACUUUAGACAUAAA
RNAcentral lists this long non-coding RNA (587 nucleotides) under Ananas comosus (pineapple). RNAcentral's name for it is "long non-coding RNA (ACOM_LNC022129)". The record is from RNAcentral. Lineage: Eukaryota; Viridiplantae; Streptophyta; Magnoliopsida; Poales; Bromeliaceae.